GCAAAGGUAGCAUAGUCAUUAGUUCUUUAAUUGUGAUCUGGUAUGAAUGGCUUGACGAGGCAUGGGCUGUCUUAAUUUUGAAUUGUUUAUUGAAUUUGGUCUUUGAGUUAAAAUUCUUAGAUGUUUUUAUGGGACGAGAAGACCCUAUAGAGUUUAACAUUUGUUAUGGUCCCCUUUCUGUUUGUGAGGGUUCAUUAGGCCGUUUAAUAUGUUUUGUUGGGGUGAUGGGAGGGAUUAAUUUAACCCCUCCUUUUAUUAUUAUAUUUAUUUAUAUUUACUUGAUCCAUUUAUUUUGAUUGUAAGAUUAAAUUACCUUAGGGAUAACAGCGUUAUCUUCCUUGAGAGUUCUUAUCGGCAGGGGGGUUUGCG
RNAcentral lists this ribosomal RNA (369 nucleotides) under Reticulitermes kanmonensis. RNAcentral's name for it is "partial 16S ribosomal RNA". It matches the Rfam family "Bacterial large subunit ribosomal RNA", at positions 1950 to 2522 of the family's 2925-position model. The record is from RNAcentral. Lineage: Eukaryota; Metazoa; Arthropoda; Insecta; Blattodea; Rhinotermitidae.